Long non-coding RNA from Gadus morhua (Atlantic cod), 1556 nucleotides. The record is from Ensembl. NCBI's taxonomy places the organism in Eukaryota, Metazoa, Chordata, Actinopteri, Gadiformes, Gadidae.
UCCCACUGGAGCCAGUAAGUCUGGUUCUGUGACGAGGCCAAUCGACUGACUUCUUUGUUGUGUAAACUGCUUACAGCCAUGUCUUACAGACCUGCAGACAUUGUGGAAUCCCGCCACGGAAGCCUCGGCCCGGACAGGCCGAGGCUUGGACUGGGUAUACCACCCCCACCCACCAGCCGGCGAUGGAGAGCAGCCCAUUCGGCUCCCCAAUCAGGGUGAUUGGGGGACACCUGGCCGAGGAGCCAUCUUAAGAGGAGGACCAGCACAGCACAGCACGGGUCGGGAGCAGGAAGGAAGGACUCGUGGCAGCGAGAGAGCCUAGAGGCCCACGGAGGCCCUAGAGACCGCGACUCCUUCAUAGUUUGAUUGUUUCACGUUGAUUGUUAAAUAAAUGCCUGCCAUGGCUAAAAACCCUACGCCAAGCAAGUUUUGUCCAUGGAACCCGGCCCAACCGAGGACCGGGAUACCACAUAUGGUGGAGAAUGCAGGCACCAUGAAGGUCCCACUACGGCUCCCCGGUACAGACGCCGCCGCCGCAAGAGACGCCGCCGCCGCAAGGGACGCCGCCGCCGCCGCAAGGGACGCCGCCGCCGCCGCAAGGGACGCCGCCGCCGCCGCAAGGGAUGCCGCCGCAGCCGCAAGGGACGUCGCCACCGCCGCAAGGGACGUCGCCGCCGCCGCAAGAGACGUCGCCGCCGCCGCAAGAGAUGUCGCCACUGCCGCAAGAGACGCUGCCGCCGCCGCAAGAGACGCUGCCGCCGCCGCAAGAGACGCCGCCGCCGCCGAAAGGGACGCCGCCGCCGCCGCAAGGGACGCCGCCGCCGCCGGUGCAAGGGACGCCCCCGCCGCCACAGCGCGAGACGAGGCCGCAGCGCGAGACCGGGACGUGACAGUGCCGUCGGCCUACGCGGACGUGGGGACGGGCCGGCCCUGCAUGCUGGCGACAUGUUGGGCAAAGGAAGCGUCUGGGUGCCCAACCGUACCUGCGAGGGUGAUGUCCAAACAGACGCAGGCCAUAGUGGACACUGGCAGCAUGGUCACCCUCCUCCGGACCGACCUGGCGGGGGGAAGGGAAGGGUCACCAAUGGAGGUGACAUGCGUACACGGGGACACACGAACAUACAAGACCUGCCACGUGGUCGUCCGGACACCACAGGGGGUUUUCACGGCUAGGGCAGGGGUCGUGCCACACCUCCCGGUGCCGUUCCUAAUUGGGAGGGACUGCCCGAUUCUCCGUCGGCUUUGGGACCCGGCGCUGGAGUCCCGGGUCCGGAGAGAUGCGGUCGCCGGCGCGGCAGGAGGUGCAGCGGUCGCCGGCGCGGCAGGAGGUGCAGCGGUCGCCGGCGCGGCAGGAGGUGCAGCCGCCGCCGGCGCGGCGAGAGAUGCGGCUGCCGUCGCGGCAAGGGAUGCGGCCGGCGCCGCUGCGAGAGGUGCGGUGCGAGAGGAGAGAACUUUCUCUUCAUCACUCCCGUAUACCACAAUGCAAUGCGGUCGUGUUUUUCCGAAGGAGAAGAAGCAGCUGAUAACUGCGAAAACGAAUACAUUUGAUGAUGGAG